RNAcentral lists this unclassified non-coding RNA (201 nucleotides) under Hevea brasiliensis (rubber tree). Lineage: Eukaryota; Viridiplantae; Streptophyta; Magnoliopsida; Malpighiales; Euphorbiaceae. The record is from RNAcentral.
GGAAAUCCAGUGGCUCAAUGUGCAUAGUAUCAGGGAAGCCGUGAAGGGUACAGAAUAAAUCUUCCUCAAACUUCAUGAAAGGUGCUUCAGAGAGAUUUUUAAUACCCACAAUCUCCAAAAGAAAGUGAAAAUUUUGGUUGGGAGACGUUUUAUUUGUCAUAGUGCAGCAGAAUCAGUGCAUGACUUGUUUUUCAAUUGUUG